GGAGAUGCUACCUAGGCACAAAUCCAUCUGCCAUUGCUCUGAUAGACCUGUCUCUGGGUCCUGACAGUACCUUCACACUCAUCUCUGCCUUGAUAUCCAACAGGUUUUUAAAUUCUCAAAUUGGAUCAUGAUGAUGAUCAGUUGAGCUGAAGAUGGGAAGAAGUGGUCAAGUUCUGCUUGAUAUUGAUGAGUUAGCAAAUACCAUAAGAGAAAAGUUGGAAAUCUUGCAUCCUUUAUCUGAUGAGUGCUGUAUCUACAGAGUACCUGACCGACUACGCCAAUUAAAUCACAAGGCCUAUACGCCUCGAGUACUCUCUAUUGGCCCUCUCCACCAUGGCGGAAAAGAGCUACAAGCAAUGGAAGAGCAUAAGAACAGGUACCUGCAGGAUUUCCUUCGUUUGAGCGGGGUAAGCCUGGAGGAUUGCAUUCAAUUUUUUCAGCAAUGUGAGAUAAGAUUGCGAAAUUGUUAUGCAGAAUCCAUCCAACUAAGCAGUAAUGAUUUUGUGAAGAUGAUGUUGCUAGAUGCCAGCUUCAUCAUCAUGCUCUUUCUAAAGCAUUGUUUUGGAGACUUGAGGAAUAGGAUUAGGAAUGAUCGAAUAUACAACAAACCAUGGUUGAUUCUUGAUAUAAGAUUCGACUUAAUUUUGCUUGAAAAUCAGAUUCCUUUCUUCAUUCUUGAAGACCUGUUUAUGCUGUCCAAUAUACCUACGCGUCUGGAGGGAGUUUCUAUUGUAAAGCUUGUCUACGAAUUCUUCAGAAACGGAUGGGAUUCAUGGGUGAAGGAGGACGUUUUGGAGAGACACAGUUCUUUCAAAAUAGAGCAUAUUCUUGAUUUUCUGAGAAUCUGUCAGCAGCCAUCAGAGUUGCAGCCUCAAAAGGAGCUGAGGAUGCUAGUGGUGCCGAGCACAACAGAGCUCUACCAAGCUGGAGUCAAAUUUCAGUUGAGUUCAAGCAAGAACGUACUUGACAUAAAAUUCAAGAAUGGAAUUUUGGAAAUCCCACGAUUUCGAAUAGUGGAUCAAACAGAAAUUUUACUGCGAAAUCUCCAAGCUUUCGAGCAAUGCCAUUGCUUGGACAAUUAUGUAGGUGACUAUAUUGCCAUGAUGGCUAUGCUUGUGAAUUCUGCCAAUGAUGUGGAAUUACUAUCUCAAAAUGGGAUCAUAGAAAAUUGGCUACGGAGUAAUGAAGCCUUAGCAGCUCUUUUCCGGGAAGUUGAAAAAGAGAAUAUUGUCUUCCCUGAUAGAUACUACUUUUCUGCUGUGAUUGAAGAUCUUAAUGUGCACUGCAGAGCCCCUUGGCAUAAAUGGAAGGCAAACUUGAAACAAAAUUAUUUCAAUACUCCAUGGGUUGGCAUCUCUGUUGUUGCAGCUGCUAUUCUCCUCUUUCUUACUGUUAUACAAACUGUGUGUUCUCUACUGCAAGUUUAGGUUCUGCAUUUUGUUCUGUAAUUUUUUUAGGCAAAAUUUCCCCUUCUGUGCAACUUUUUCUUCUAUUGAUGAUUUGCAAACAUAUUUUCGUAAUUACAAGAUGAGUCCCUUAGAUUAGAGGCUAUUAAUGUAAUUCAAAUUGAG
Molecule: unclassified non-coding RNA, 1571 nt
Filed under: Hevea brasiliensis (rubber tree)
Lineage: Eukaryota; Viridiplantae; Streptophyta; Magnoliopsida; Malpighiales; Euphorbiaceae
Source: RNAcentral